Molecule: long non-coding RNA, 1203 nt
Filed under: Salmo salar (Atlantic salmon)
Lineage: Eukaryota; Metazoa; Chordata; Actinopteri; Salmoniformes; Salmonidae
Description: lncRNA (ENSSSAG00000090907.1)
Source: RNAcentral
UUGCUCAGAAAAAGUCUGAAUUGUGAUGGAUAGAUAUUUUUCACUCUAUCCUCAGGCAUGGAGACCUACUGUACUGUAAUGCUACACUGGAUGGAGCCCAGUGUUACGGAUUUGUGUGAGGAACUGUCCUUCCCUUAAAGACACGACAGCCAUUACAGAAUUACCCACCAAACCAGGACCAAGCAGCGGAGGAGGAAGGAGCAACAGGAGAACAGCUUGAUGGACUCAUGGACAUGGGAACAGAUACUGGACGGAGGGGACCAUGGACUCAGGCUGGGGAGUAUCGCCUCCCGCAGUGGGAGAUUGAAGCGGCGAGAGCGGAGAGGCGAUAUUAUGAGGAGAGAGAGCGCAACAAGCACGAGAGGCAGCCCCAAUCAUUUUUUUGGGGGGGGGGCACACAGGACAGUCGGCGGAGCCGAGGUCGGAACCAGAGCCAGUCGGGUUGACAUUGGAGGUGAGCGAGGGGAACGAGGCAGAGACUGUGAAGGAGUUAAUGGGGAGAUUAAAGGAGAGAGAGAUGAGAGAGCUGCUAGUUUGGUGCAUAAGGCACGGUAUCCGCCCUACGGAGCGUGUCGUUGAAAUGAUGUCACCUGAGGCAGCUCUCCAUACUCGUCCUGAGGUGCGUGCUGGUUGUCUGGUGAGGACUGUGCCUGCGCCCAGAAACAGGCCUCCUGCAUGUCUUCCCAGCCCUGCACGUCCUGUGCCUACGCCCAGAACCAGGCCUCCUGCAUGUCUUCCCAUCCUGGUCAAGCCCGUGCCUCCUCCACGGACCAGUCCUCCAGUGGGUCUCCCUAUCCUGGUCAAGCCCGUGCCUCCUCCACGGACCAGUCCUCCAGUGGGUGUCCCCAUCCUGGUCAAGUCCGUGCCUCCUCCUCGGACCAGUCCUCCAGUGGGUCUCCCCAUCCUGGUUCGUCCUGUGCCUCCUCCAAGGACCAGUCCUCCGGUGGAUCCCUCCACCCUGGUCUCUCCUGUGCCGCCUCCUCAGACCGGGCCUCCAGCUGGUCUCCCCAGCCUGAUGAGUCCAGGGCCUGCGCACAGAGCCAGGCCUCCAUGUCUCCCCAGCCUGGCCGGAGUGGCCGGCCGUGCCGGAUCUGCCGGAGUGGCCCGCCGUGCCGAAUCGACGCCAAGGGUGCAGCAAAGGCCACGUCCCGCACCUGAUCCACCUCCAGGUUAGGUGGGUUGGGGAGGGGGGGUGUAGCACAG